Molecule: ribosomal RNA, 253 nt
Filed under: uncultured bacterium
Lineage: Bacteria
Description: partial 16S ribosomal RNA
Rfam family: Bacterial small subunit ribosomal RNA
Source: RNAcentral
UACGAAGGGGGUGAGCGUUGUUCGGAAUUACUGGGCGUAAAGGGCGCGUAGGCGGCCGAUCAAGUUAGAUGUGAAAGUCCUGGGCUUAACCUGGGGACUGCAUUUGAUACUGAUUGGCUUGAAUUCGGGAGAGGAUAGCGGAAUUCCCAGUGUAGAGGUGAAAUUCGUAGAUAUUGGGAAGAACACCGGUGGCGAAGGCGGCUAUCUGGACCGACAUUGACGCUGAGGCGCGAAAGCGUGGGGAGCAAACAGG